GUGCCAGCAGCCGCGGUAACACGUAGGGGGCGAGCGUUGUCCGGAUUCAUUGGGCGUAAAGCGCGCGCAGGCGGCUCGGAAAGUCGGGUGUGAAAACUCGGGGCUCAACCCCGGGCGUGCAUCCGAUACUGCCGGGCUUGAGGCAGGUAGGGGAGAUCGGAAUUCCUGGUGUAGCGGUGAAAUGCGCAGAUAUCAGGAGGAACACCGGUGGCGAAGGCGGAUCUCUGGGCCUGUCCUGACGCUGAGGCGCGAAAGCUAGGGGAGCGAACAGGAUUAGAUACCCUGGUAGUCC
RNAcentral lists this ribosomal RNA (292 nucleotides) under uncultured bacterium. RNAcentral describes it as "partial 16S ribosomal RNA". It matches the Rfam family "Bacterial small subunit ribosomal RNA", at positions 505 to 796 of the family's 1533-position model. The record is from RNAcentral.